Molecule: long non-coding RNA, 457 nt
Filed under: Brachypodium distachyon (stiff brome)
Lineage: Eukaryota; Viridiplantae; Streptophyta; Magnoliopsida; Poales; Poaceae
Description: long non-coding RNA (BDIS_LNC004028)
Source: RNAcentral
CUGCCGCCACUGCCGCCGCCGUCGCCGCUCCGCCUCCCGCGCGUCAUGGCCUCCGGCUCUCCCUCCUCGCCGGCCUCCCCUUCCCCUUCCGCGCCGCCGCGCCGGGUUAUCGUCUCCCACCGCCUCCCGCUCCGCGCCGCGCCCGACGCGGCCGCCCCGUUCGGGUUCUCCUUCACCGUCGAUGCGAGCACCGUCGCGUACCAGCUCCGCUCGGGCCUGCCGCCGUCGGCCCCGGUCCUCCACAUCGGCACGCUCCCGGCGGCCGCCGCCGAGGAUUUCUCCGACGAGCUCGCCGCCUACCUGCUGGCCAACUUCUCCUGCCUGCCCGUCUACCUCCCCGCCGACCUCCACCGCCGCUUCUACCACGGCUUCUGCAAGCACUACAUGUGGCCGCUCCUCCACUACCUUCUCCCGCUGACCCCGUCGACGCUGGGCGGGCUCCCGUUCGACCGCUCGC